AGAAUUCGCCCCCAGUUUGGAUACCACUGCCAUAGACAUUUUUCAAGGAUACCUACUGCGCUGACGUCAUCGUUCAUGGAUUUCUCUGACUUGAAUGCGAGGAACAUGGCGAGGAAGAAUCAAUGCUGAUUUUUGUUUCCAUGGUAACGGUGUAUCCGCAGAGGGAUCUUCAAUUUGGAGACGGUUACUAUGACUGCCACAAACUGUCGAACGCCCUAUAAAUUAGCCUAACAAUGAUUACACUUUUCAUUCGGACACGCUAAACAUAGAGAUUGUUGAUUCUAAGAGAGUAGAGAAGAGAAAGAAGAAUGGCUGGGGGAGAGAACGAAGAAGAGGAAGAGGAAAGUUUGAAAGUUCUCUACCAUCCCUUCGGUUUAGCCCUGGGACUCUAUCUUAUUCUGACCAGUGGUUAUUGGAUGACCUGGCUUCUACAACACGAGAUCUUCAUUAUUCUGCUCGCUGUAUUUGUUGUCUUCUUUCUCCUUAUCACACUCAUCUUGCAGGUCAGGCGACACUUUCGCCGAUUGCACAGUAAAUGUAUGCUGAUAUGAGGAAAAGACUCACAACUUUUGACAAAACUUUAUAAAAUGUGUAUAUAUGCAUAGAAGUUGGCAAUAUUUACUUUGAUUAUAUUAUUUGUGAAAUAUAAUAGGCUGUUAUUAUUAGUUGACGGUAAGUUUCAUUGAGAAAUAAGAAUAUGAACUUGCAUGGAGGAAAAAAACAAAUUUUGCUGAAACCAUGGUAACGGUGGGGAGAAAAGUGGGGAGAUUCGGAAAAUCGUGUCACCUUGAGUUGCCUAUUCGAUUUACAAAUAGUAUAAUUUUAAGUAAAGAAUCGCACACUUUUAAUUACAGUCAUCAAUUUCUUUUAAACAUUUGUUUAUGGAAACUUUUUUGCUUUGGUUUGAAAAUUAUUCACUUCAAUGUUAUUACUUUGGUGAGAAUAAAUUUACCUUUUUUUACACACGUGUGUAAACAGUAACAUUUUUUGUAAAUAUAUAAUUUGG
Parasteatoda tepidariorum (common house spider) is the source of this 1006-nucleotide long non-coding RNA. RefSeq lists it as uncharacterized. The record is from RefSeq and is a predicted model, not a curated record. NCBI's taxonomy places the organism in Eukaryota, Metazoa, Arthropoda, Arachnida, Araneae, Theridiidae.